AAGAGAUGCCAGAUGUUGAAAUUGACAUUGAUGAUCUUCUCGAUGCAGACAGUGAGGAAGAGAGAGCUUUAAAAUUGCAGGAAGCUCUCGUAGACUGCUACAAACCAACAGAGGAAUUUAUCAAAGAACUGCUCUCUCGGAUAAAAGGCAUGAGGAAACUGAGCCCUCCACAGAAGAAGGGCGUAUGAUUCUGGAACAGGGUGGAAUUCUCCCAGAGUUGAAGAAAGCAUUCUGGGAUUUGGACUAAAUGAAGACUUUCAAUAGAGAAUAGUUGUCUUAUGAACAACUUUUUGUUUGUUUUUUUGGGGUGUGUGUGGUGGGAAUCUGUUAGACAUUUAUUCAAGAGUGUUCCUUUUCUUUGUUUGUUUUUAAAGGUUUUUGUUAGUAAUAUUUUAAUAGCGAAGAUAUCAUGACUCUGGCCACAGCCUAAUGAAAGUUUAGCAAGGCUGGGCCAGGCCAGACCAUGUUUGCUGCAAGGACUCUAAGGUUUAGGACCUUACUAUACAGGGAAGAUGGUUUUCUUACAACUAGUUUGGUAAUACUUUCUUAAGUUGUACAUUUGACUCAGAUGUUGAAUUUCUUGUACUUGUAUAUAUCUACACAACUAUGUUAAAAUGUAAAUGUGAGUUUUAUUUCACAUUGAUGGAAUAAACUUGUGGUUGUCCUUUAAUUGGAGGUCACAGCACAUGUGUUUUCCAGAGGCUGCCACUAGGCAUUCUCCAUGUGAGUGCUGUAGACAUUCAACAUUCACUUUCUGCACCAAAGUGAAAGAAUUCGGUGUAUCCGUUAUUUUAAUGAGCUACACUAUGAAAAUGUUGAGUUGGUCAAGGGCUUAAUUUAUGGACUUUAUUUCAUUGGUUGGGAUGCUUUGCCAGAUCAUGAACUUAUUGUGUCAUCUGUGGUCUUUUAAAGUUUUAUGAACCCUUAAUUUGAAGAACUCACUUGAUUUCUAGAGAGAUACCCAUGCUACCUGAGUGGUGUUCAGCAAUGGAAAAAGAAAGCACCAUGUAGCCAUGAAUCCUCUGCUUUCAGUGGAGUACUGUGUAUUAUUCUCUUUCCGUGACAGCAGGUCAAAGGGAAGUUAGUGGAUUUAGUGUGUUCCUACUUACAAGACUCGAUUCUGGCCCCUUCUGUGCCUGGAUAGUGUCACACCAGAGGGUGUGAACUAUGUGUUGAGCAGGUGCAGAGAUGAGAAAGCCUUGCCUUCUCUUGAGACAGUUAGUUCAGGAACAUUCACUGGUUUGCAAAUGUGGAGAUUGCAUGUCUGGCUUCUCUCAAUAGUUUGUGGUGAGGACUUUGGAGGCUCCUGGCCCCAAUUGUGCAACCUGAUCCCUGUGCUCAGAGCAGGGCUGAUCACUAGUCCUGAGCUCUCUGCUCCAUACCAGCUCUUUGGAAAAGGAUCAAAACUCAGAUGGGAUGUGGGCAGGUCAAAGGUAGGAGCAGAAAUUCUUCCUUCACUCUGGGAGACCCCACAGAAACUGCAUCUACUGGAUGUCGUCUCCAGGUGGCCCUGCCCCAGGACAGGGGUUAGGCAUUUUAUAUCAAGGGUGCUCUGAACAUAUUUUAUUUUUAAAAAGAACUCUGUUUGUGAAUUUUACGUAUUCUGGCAAGCUUUUGAAAAUGUAUUUAAUUUUGUAAUGUUUACCAAUGAUUUAUUUACAUGCUAUUUACUCAAAUAAAUGG
Long non-coding RNA from Tupaia belangeri chinensis (Chinese tree shrew), 1683 nucleotides. RefSeq lists it as uncharacterized. Lineage: Eukaryota; Metazoa; Chordata; Mammalia; Scandentia; Tupaiidae. The record is from RefSeq and is a predicted model, not a curated record. The transcript has 3 exons.